RNAcentral lists this ribosomal RNA (465 nucleotides) under uncultured bacterium. RNAcentral describes it as "partial 16S ribosomal RNA". It matches the Rfam family "Bacterial small subunit ribosomal RNA", at positions 28 to 507 of the family's 1533-position model. The record is from RNAcentral.
GACGAACGCUGGCGGUGUGCUUAACACAUGCAAGUCGUACGGUAAGGCCCUUUCGGGGGUACACGAGUGGCGAACGGGUGAGUAACACGUGAGUAACCUGCCCACAACUUUGGGAUAACGCUAGGAAACUGGUGCUAAUACUGGAUAUGUGCUCCUGCUGCAUGGUGGGGGUUGGAAAGCUCCGGCGGUUGUGGAUGGACUCGCGGCCUAUCAGCUUGUUGGUGGGGUAGUGGCCUACCAAGGCGGCGACGGGUAGCCGGCCUGAGAGGGUGACCGGCCACAUUGGGACUGAGAUACGGCCCAGACUCCUACGGGAGGCAGCAGUGGGGAAUAUUGCACAAUGGGCGCAAGCCUGAUGCAGCAACGCCGCGUGCGGGAUGACGGCCUUCGGGUUGUAAACCGCUUUCAGCAGGGACGAAGCUUUUUGUGACGGUACCUGCAGAAGAAGCACCGGCUAACUACGUG